UACAGAGGGUGCAAGCGUUAAUCGGAAUUACUGGGCGUAAAGCGUGCGUAGGUGGUUUGUUAAGUCUGUUGUGAAAGCCCCGGGCUCAACCUGGGAAUGGCAAUGGAUACUGGCAAGCUAGAGUGCGGUAGAGGGUAGUGGAAUUCCCGGUGUAGCGGUGAAAUGCGUAGAGAUCGGGAGGAACACCAGUGGCGAAGGCGGCUACCUGGACCAGCACUGACACUGAGGCACGAAAGCGUGGGGAGCAAACAGG
This 253-nucleotide ribosomal RNA is filed under the name uncultured bacterium. Its description in RNAcentral is "partial 16S ribosomal RNA". It matches the Rfam family "Bacterial small subunit ribosomal RNA", at positions 524 to 776 of the family's 1533-position model. The record is from RNAcentral.